Long non-coding RNA from Camelus dromedarius (Arabian camel), 14646 nucleotides. RefSeq lists it as uncharacterized. Lineage: Eukaryota; Metazoa; Chordata; Mammalia; Artiodactyla; Camelidae. The transcript is spliced from 3 exons. The record is from RefSeq and is a predicted model, not a curated record.
CGGGUGUUCUCCAGUGAGUUCUGAGCACCCUGCACCGCCCCCAUGUGCCUGCAGGGGGCGCUCGAAGUCAGCAUAGCUUGGGCGGUGAGGCGCAUGCGCAGUCCGCGGCAGACGUGGUCGGCAAGUUUCUUGGGGGGCGGAGUUUGUUUUCCUCAGGACGGAGCGGCCGGCUCCCUGGCGGCUCCGGGAUGGAGGUCGCGCGGCCGGCGUGUCCGCGGGAGGAGGAGGCUCCCCGCCCUAUGUCUGAGUUUUCAAGAGGACCUGUCAGGAAUUGCGUGGAACGUCUUCCAGUUGGGAUUUACGUGAUGUUUCCCUCGUGAUUAGCCUGGGGUGAUGUGCUUCUGGAGAGGAAGGCCACAGAGGACAAGUGUAACGUACGACACUUUCUAUCAAGGGAACAUGCUCUGAAGAAAAAGUAGCCAAUAAGUUUAUGAAAUGAUACUCCACCUCAGUAGUGGUCAGAGGGAUGCUGGAUCCAACAUCUGCGCCUCGAAUAGCGUCUGGCACGUAGUCUGUGCUCAGUAAGUAUCUGAAUGAGUAAGACUUAAAAGACGUGAGGAGCGUGUGCAGGGUGUGCACAGGUGGCAGAAGAGUCCCAGGCAGGGGGAGAGGAAGGUGAAGGGCCAUAAGGAAGGAGCACGCCUGGCUGUUUGAGGCAAGUUGGGAAUGCUGGGUGGCUGAAGUGAAGUGAGCAAGGGGGAGAGGCCUUGGGGAGAUAAACAGACUUGCUAGCCAUUUAAGGGAUAUUGGCUUUUACUCUGGGUGAAAUGAAGUGCCAGUGAGGGGUUUUCUGCGGAGGAGGGCUGUCACCUGACUUGCCCUGGCUGCUGUCCUACCAGCUGACUAAGGGGCAAAAGCAGAGUCAGGGCACCAGGUAGGAGACUGCUGGCACAACCCAGGUGGCAGCUCAGGCCAUGACGUUGGCCGUGGAGAUGGUGACAGGUGGUCAGUUUAGUUGUGGUUUUGCAGGUUGAACCAGCACCAGCUUCAUGGAUGGGACACAAGGUCCUUCACUCAGACAAACCCAUGGGUGGUUUCAUGCUCUGUUGUAUCCAUCUUGAAUUUUUUUCUCCAGACUUACUGACAUAAUUGAUACACGGCAUUGUGUGAGUGUAAGAUGUACAAUGUGGUGAUUAGAUGCAGGUAUAUAGUGAAAUGAUUACCACAAUAAGGAUACUUCCAUAAAUUCACAUAAUCCCUUUUGUGGUGAGAAUUUUUGAGAUCUAGCCUCAGCAACUUGCAGGUAAACGAUACAGCGUUGUUAGCUGUAGUCACCGUGCUGUAUGUGAGAUUUCCCAGAACUUACUCAUCUUAAACCCGGAUGUUUAUACUCUUUGCGAAGCAUCUUAUUUUCCCCACUCCCAGGCCCUGACAACCACCACUCUAUUCUCUGUUUGUGUGAGUUUGGCAUUUUUAGAUUACACAUGUAAGUGAAAUUACGCAGUUCUGCUUUUUAUUUUUUGACGAUCUGCAAUGUGUUGAUUUGAUCUGUUUAUAUACAGCAAUAUGAUCACCACCACAGCUUUCCGUAACACCUCUGUCAUGACUCACGAAUAUAAUUUUCUUUUGUGUGUGUGUGUGUGUGUGUGUGUGGCAAGAACAUUCACAGGAUAGUGUCUUAGCAACUUUGAAGACUGAUGCAGAGCUGUUGUCUGUAAUCACUGUGCUGUGCAUUUGAUCUGCAUGACUUAUUUAUCUUCUGGUUGCAAGUUUGUACCCUUUCACAUCUCCCCAGUUGCUCCGCCCCAGACACCCUUCUCCUCUUUGUCUCUAAGAGCUUGCUCACUUGGUGUAUGUUACACGUAUAUCUGAUACCUUACAUUUGUCUUUCUGUGUCUGGUUCAUCUCACUCAUCGUAAUGCCCUCAAGGUCCAUCUGUAAUACCACAAAUGGAAGGAUUUCCUUCCUUCUCAAUGUGGAAUAGUAUUCCAUUGUAUAUAAAUGCCAUAUCCAUUCAUCCAUUGUUGGACACUCAGAUCGUUUCCAUAUCUUGCCUAUUGGGAAUAACGCUGCAAUAAACAUGUGAGUGCAGCUAUGUUUUCGAUACCCUGUUUUCACUUCCUUCAGGUGUACACCAGAAAGGAGGACUGCUGGAGCAUAUGGUAGCUCUAUUUUUAAUUUUGGGGUAACCUCCAUAGCUUUUCCAUAGUGGCUGAGCCAGGUUACAUCCCCACCGCCAGUGCACAGGGGUUUUCUUUUGUCCUCGUCCUUGCCAGCACUUGUCUCGUUUUCUUGGUGAUGGCCAUUCUGACAGGAGGAAGGGGAUAUCUCAUUCCCGUUUAAAUUGCAUUUCCCUAAUGGUUAGUGAUGUUGAACAUCUUUUCAUGUACCUCUUGGCCAUUUGGGUGUCGUCUUUGGAAAAAUACAAAUUUAGUUUCACUGCCCAUUUUUUAUAUUGAUUGGCUUUUUUUUUUUUUUGGCUAUUGUGUUGUAUGAGGUCCACAUAUAUUUUGAUAUUAACCCCUCAUCCAAUAUAUGAUUUGCAGAGUUUCUCUCUACUCUGUGUUAGGCUUUACAUUUUGCUGAUUGUUUCUUUAGCUGUGCAGGAGCUUUUUAGUUUGAUGUAGUCCCCCCACCUGUUGAUACUUGCUUUUCUGGCUUGUGCUUUUGGGGACAUAUCUCAAAAUUAUUGCCCAAAUCAGUAUUAAGUAGCUUCUUCUCUAUGUUUUCUUCCUGGAGUUUUAUAGUAUCAGGUCUUAUGUUUCAGUCUGUAAUCCAUUUUAAGUUAUAUUUGCAAGUGGUGGAAGGUUAAGUGUCUGGUUUCAUUUUUCUGCAUGUGGUUUUCUUAUUUUCCCAGCAUCAUUUGUUGAAGACACUAGCCUUUCCCCUUUCAAAAUAGCAUUAAAACCGAUAAGAUACUUAAGAAUAAACGUAACUAAGUAAGUGAAAAAUUUGUGCUUUGAAAACUAUAAGAAUUUUAUGGAAAAAAUUGAAGUCAAAACAAGUGGAAAGAUAUACUGGACCAGAAGUAUGGUUAAUGCACCAGAAGAAUUAAUGCUAAAAUGUCCGUACUACUCAAAGCCGUUUAUAGGUUCAGUGCAGUUUCUAUAAAUAUUCCAACAGCAUUUUUUACAGAGAGAAAUCAAUCUGAAAAUUUUUUUAUGUGACCACGAAAGACCCAGAUAUCUAGCCAGAACAAUCCUGAGAAAGAAUAAAUUGGGAGUCAUCACGCUUCCUGCUUUAAUAGUGUAUCACAGUACUGUAGUCAUGAUACACCAUGAUACUGGUAUUAAAAUACACACGUAGUCUAAAGGAACAGAAUAGAGAGCCCAAUAGUAAACCCCUGUGUAUCAGGUCAGCUAACAUUUGAGAUGGAAGUAAAACAUGUUCAGUGGGCAAAGGAUAUAGUCUCUUUGACAGAUGGUGCUAGGACAACUGGAUACUACUUUUAAUUUUUGGCAGAACCUCCAUACUGCUUUUCAUAGUGGCUGUGGUUAAUUUACAUUUUUACCAACAGAGCACAAGGAUUUUCUUUUCUCCGCAUCCUUGCCAGUACUUGUAAUGGCUUGUCUUUUUUAACUGUAGCCAUUGUGACAGGUGUGAGAUGGUCUCAUGACAUUGAUUUGCAUUUCCUUGACAAUUAAUGUUGUUGUGCACUUUUUCAUGUUGGACAUUUGUAUGUCUUCUUUGGAAAAAUUGUCUUAUAAAUCCAAUAUUUUUAAAUUAGAUUUUCUUGGCUGUUAAGUUGUAUGAUUUAUUCAUAUACUUGAGUAACUACCAUUUAUCAAAAGAUCAUUUGCUAAUAGUUUCUCCCAUUCCGUAUGACGCCUUUUUGUUUUUUCAAUUAUUUUUCUAUACAGAAGUGUUUUAGGUUGACUUAGUCCCACUUAUUCUUUUGGCUUUUGCUUUUGUUGCCUGUCCUUUUGAGUCAUAGCCAAAAAAUCAUAUUCCCAAGACCGAGGUCGAGGAGGUUUUCCUCUGAUUUUUUUUUUAGGAGUACUAUGGUUUCAAAUCAUACGGUUCUCUCUAUUGUGAGUUAAUUUUUGUGAGUUGCAUAAGAUGGGGUCCAGUUUAAUUCUCUUACAUCCAUUCGACUGUACCAAUUUACAUUUCCACCCAAAAAGUGCACAAAUUACCUUUUCUUCAUAUUGCAAACUUUUUUUUUUUUUAUAAUAGCCAUUCUAACAGGUGUGAGGUAAUGUUUCAUUGUGUUGGUUUUUUUUUUCUGUCAGGGACUUGGUUUUUUUUAACAUUUUUUAUUGAGUUAUAAUCAUUUUACAAUGUUAUGUCAAAUUCCAGUGUAAAGCACAAUUUUUCAGUUAUACAUGAACAUGUAUAUAUUCAUUGUCACAUUUUUUUCUCUGUGAGCUACCAUAAGAUCUUGUAUAUAUUUCCCUGUGCUAUACUGUAUAAUCUUGUUUAUCUGUUCUACGUUUUGAAAUCACAGUCUGUCCCUUCCCACUCCCUGCCCCCUUGGCAACUACAAGUUUGUAUUCUAUGUCUAUGAGUCUGUUUCUGUUUUGUAGUUACGUUUUGUUUUGUUUUGUUUUUUUUAGAUUCUACAUAUUAGAGAUCUCAUAUGGUAUUUUUCUUUCUCUUGCUGGCUUACUUCACUUAGAAUGACAUUCUCCAGGAGCAUCCAUGUUGCUGCAAAUGGCGUUAUAUUGUCAUUUUUAUGGCUGAGUAGUAUUCCAUUCUAUAAAUACACCACACCUUUAUCCAGUCAUCUGUUGAUGGACAUUUAGGCUGUUUCCAUGUCUUGGCUAUUGUGAAUAGUGCUGCUUUGAACACUGAGGUGCAGGUGUCUUUUUGAAGUAGGGUUCCUUCUGGAUAUAAGCCCAGGAGCGGGAUUCCUGGGUCAUAUGGUAAGUCUAUUCCUAGUCUUUUGAGGAAUCUCCAUACUGUUUUCCACAGUGGCUGCACCAAACUGCAUUCCCACCAGCAGUGUAGGAGGGGUUCCCUUUUCUCCACAGCCUCUCCAUCAUUUGUCAUUUGUGGAUGGCCAUUCUAACUGAUGUGAGGUGAUACCUCAUCGUAGUUUUGAUUUGCAUUCCUCUGAUAAUUAGUGAUACUGAGCAUUUUUUCAUGUGUCUAUUGAUCAUUUGUAUGUCUUCCUUGGAUAAUUGCUUGUUUAGGUCUUCUGCCCAUUUUUGGAUUGGGUUUUUUUUUCUUAUUAAGUCGUAUGAGCUGCUUAUGUAUUCUGGAGAUCAAGCCCUUAUCAGUUGCGUCUUUUGCAAAAAUUUUCUCCCAUUCUGUAGGUUGUCUUUUUGUUUUGUUUAUUGUUUCCUUUGCUAUGCAGAAGCUUGUAAGUUUAAUUAGGUCCCAUUUGUUUAUUCUUGCUAUUAUUUCUAUUGCUUGGGUAGACUGUUCUAGAACAUUUUUGAGAUGUAUGUCAGAUAAUGUUUUGUAUGUUUUCUUCUAGGAGGUUUAUUGUAUCUUGUCUUACAUUUAAGUUUUUGAUCCAUUUUGAGUUUAUUUUUGUGUAUAGUCUAAGGGAGUGUUCUAGCUUCAUUGCUUUACAUGCUGCUGUCAAGUUUUUCUGACACCAUUUGCCGAAGAGACUGUCUUUAUUCCAUUGUAUAUCUUGCCUCCUUUGUCGAAGAUGAGUUGACCAAAAGUUUGUGGGUUCAUUUCUGGGCUCUCUAUUCUGUUCCAUUGGUUUAUAUGUCUGUUUUUGUACCAAUACCAUGCUGUCUUGAUUGCUGUAGCUCUGUAGUAUUGUCUGAAGUCUGGGAGAGUUAUUUCCUCCAGCCUCUUUCUUUUUCUUUAGUAAUGUUUCACAAUACUAGGUCUUUUGUGGUUCCAUAUAAAUUUUAUUAUGACUUGUUCUAGUUCUGUGAAAUAUGUCCUGGGUAAUUUGAUAGGGAUUGCAUUAAAUCUGUAGAUUGCCUUGGGCAGUGUGACCAUUUUAACAAUAUUGAUUCUUCCAAUCCAGGAGCAUGGGAUAUCUUUCCAUUUUUUUUAAGUCUUCUUUAAUUUCCUUCAUCAAUGGUUUAUUGUUCUCUGUGUAUAAGUCUUUCACCUCCUUGGUUAGAUUUAUUCCUAGGUAUUUUAUUACUUUGGGUGCUAUUUCAAAGGGGAUUGUUUUCUUUACUAUCUUUUUCUGUUGAUUCAUCAUUAGUGUAAAGAAAUGCAACUGAUUUUUGAACAUUGAUCUUGUGACCUGCUACCUUGCUGAAUUGUUUGAUUAGUUCUAGUAGUUUUUGUGUGGAGCUUUUAGGGUUUUCUAUAUGUAGUAUCAUGUUAUCUGCAUAUAGUGACACUUUUACCUCUUCUUUUCCAAUUUGGAUCCCUUUUAUUUCUCUCUCUUGCCCGAUUGCUGUGGCCAGGACUUCCAAGACUAUAUUGAAUAGGAGUGGUGAUAGUGGGCAGCCUUGUCUUGUCCCAGAUUUUAGUGGGAUGCUUUUGAGUUUUUCACCAUUAAGUACUAUGCUGGCUGUAGGUUUGUCAUAGAUAGCUUUUACUAUGUUGAGAUAUGUUCCCUCUAUACCCACUUUGGUGAGAGUUUUUAUUGUAAAUGGAUAUUGAAUUUUAUUAAAUGCUUUUUCUGCAACUAUUGAGAUGAUCAUGUGGUUUUUGUCCUUUCUUUUGUUGAUGUGAUGUAUUACAUCGAUUGAUUUGCGUAUGUUGAACCACCCUUGUGUCCCUGGAAUGAACCCCACUUGAUCAUGAUGUAUAAUCUUUUUUAUGUACUGUUGGAUUCUAUUUGCUAAUAUUUUGGUAAGGAUUUUUGCAUCUGUGUUCAUCAGUGAUGUUGGUCUGUAAUUCUCUUUUUUGGUGGUGUCUUUGCCUGUUUUUGGUAUCAGGGUGAUGGUGGCUUCACAGAAUGAAUUUGGGAGUAUUCCCUCCUUUUCAAUCUUCUGGGAGAGUUUGAGAAGGACUGGUAUGAGUUCUUCUUUGUAUGUUUGGUAGAAUUCCCUGGUGAGGCAGUCCGGUCCUGGACUUUUAUUUGUAGGGAGGUACUUUGUCUUUUUUAAAAGCCCACUGAAACAGUUUUAUGAGUUACGUUGCUUAAAAUUUAUUUAUUUUAGAAUAUCUUUAGAUUUCAAAGUGGAAGUAGAUCAACACGCUCAUUUUAUAGUUGAAAAAAAAAAAAAACCCAACAACAGGGUUGGUUAUAGCUCAAUGGUAGAGUGACUGCUUAGCAUGCGUGAGGUCCUGGGUUCAGUCCCCAGUACCUCCUCUAAAAAAAAAAAAAGAAAAGCCUAAUUACCUUCCCCUCCCCAGGAAACCCCCAAAGUCCAUGAAGUUAAGUUUCCCAUUUAACUAAUUUCUUGUACAUAUACAAGAGGUUUCUGUUGGUCACUGAGAAUUCAAAGGGAAACAUGAAGCCAUUCUGACCCUGAAAGAACUGACAGUCUCGCAGGGGAGAGACAACCACCAGUCAGACAAGGUGAAGCGGGCUGUGCCUCCGCACGGACCAGGGGGUGAUUCAUCCUGUCAGGGGUCAGGGAGGUUGUGGAAAGGCUGCAGGAAGGAUGGAUACUUGGAGCCUUGAUUAGUACGGGCUGGUGUGGAGACAUGGAGGGGGCAUGACAGAUGGAAGGAGGAGGAGGGUAGCUGUGGGAGGGGGUCUGGUGCUGGACGGAGUGGAGUCGCCUGGUGGCCUGAGUGGUCAAGGAUGAGCCUGCAAGACAGGGAGCCCUGGACAGGGCUUGGACUCUUCUCUUUGGAUUCAGGGUCUUAUUCGGGAGCAGUGUGAUCAAACUCGUGCUUUAGAGGAACACUCAGAGCAAUGUGAGUAGGCGGAAUUGGGGUAGACAGGAAGAAAGCAGAGCAGGUAAGAAUUUGCUAGAAUAUUACUGCUAAGAAAUAAUAAAGGACUGAAUAAGUGAAUUAAGUGAUACUUUGAAGGUAGAAUUUGUAAGAAUUGUCUGUGGUUUCAGAAUGCAGUUCUGGGAUUUUCUCCCCAAAAUUCCAUCAUAUUUUUUCUUCUUCAUGAUUCAUGUACAGUGAUAGUGAUUAGUAUCUACUGAGAAAUGACUGUCCCAGACCCUGUGGUAAGUACCUCACAUCCAUUAUCUCCUCUGAACAUCUCGAUAGCCCUCUGGACUAGGUCAUAUCACAGCCACAUGACAGACGAGGGAAUCCAGGCUCUGAGAGAUUACACUGUGCUCUGUCUCCGAGCCAAGAAGAAUCAGAGGUUGGAAUUGACCCAGGGCUCUACUGUAGCAUGAGAGCCUGGAUAGCUAUGAUUAUUGCAUCACCAACUACAUACGUGAAGUGAAAGAUCUCAAGAUAUAAGAUAAUCUCUCAGAGCUUACAGCUCUGCCCUGGUAAGUAACCCUGGCACCUCAGCAAAAUGAAGCUCUAUUCUUCAAAACUGUCCAGUGUGAUCCAUGAAUAUUCAUUCUUCUGUUUACCCACCUCAUAAGUCCCGGUGCAGAGUCAGGGGCUCAGCGGCACUGCGUGUGGUCUCCCGUGGGCCCCUGCAGCCGAGCACCUACCCCAGCAGGGUACGGAGGUUGCUAAGGAAAUGCACUGAGCUCGCUGACCCUCCUACCCUCUCCUUGAUUUUUCCUUUAUUUUCCCGAUCCUCUUUCUCUACUUCAUGCCGUCUUCACAAGCUGCUUGCGCUGAUCGUGGUGAUGCAGGUUAGUGCACGACCUAGUAAUUCUUGCCCUUGACCUCAACUCGCCUGUUGUUGCAUCUUUUUCUCCCCUUGGCUUGUUGCAUUUUUGAGAGCUCUUGGCUAAACUGGCCCAAGAAUCUCCUCCUCUCCUGUUUGUCCAUAUUGUCAACUCUCAACCUCGAGACUGGUUGAGGCUAAGGUGACACAGGUCAGCAUCCCCUCAAAGACCUUGCAGUGCAGUGGGGAUGUGAGCUGUGUGGCUGACCAUUACUGCAAGGUCAGGGGAGUUCUGCAUCACAGGAGGAUAGGUAAAGGGCCACAGAAGCACAAAACUGAACCAUGUUAAUUCCCGUUAGAACACAUUCGGUCAUGAAUAAAUUAAAAAACGAGUUGUUUAUUUACAGCACAAAAGUAAGUGUGUGUGAAACUCGGUCAGUUGUAAUUUGACGAUAUUACCGGUCCUGCCAGGAGAGAAGACUGAGCAGAGAGACCAUGGCAGAGCAGUGGAAAGGGUGAUCACGAUGAAUGAGAGUCCAGGUUUUGCUUCAGUCAAUUAUUAGACUAAGUGUUAAGUUCUGUCCUUGAGAUCUGUAUGAUGCCCAUGUAGGUAUAAAAUAAUUGUUCAUAUUCUCUUCCAGCCAAAUAAUCAGUAUCGAAGAGAGGCAGGACCUCAGAUUCUUAACUCCAUGAUCCAGGCCUUCAUCCAGAUUCCAGAGACACAUCCGCCUUGGGAGAAUCACCUGACUGAACAGGACAAGCUACAAGGCUCGUGUCUCCUCUGCCUUCAGGUCAGCAUGAAAAGCCGAUUGCACAGCUUCCUUGGCCCCUGCACAGUAACCCCACUGUGAUCUUGUCCCCUCAGGUCCCUGGGCUCUGGGACAGGAGCUGCACAGAAAGAGGAGGCUGAGGGGACAAGCCAGUCUCCCCUGAGCCCACAGAGCUGGCCUAAGCUACCCACUCAGCCCUCUCACAACCUGGUGCAGAUUUUUAGGUGCAAGAACCCUCCCCUCCUCACUGGGAGACAGCCCCAAGCGUCACCAAAGACCAGGGAAGACAAAAGAUGGACCAGAGAAUCACCCAAAGGAGCAGGAUCACACCCAUGGGGACUUUUCAUGGUUCAGCCUGCUUAGUAGAAAAGGAGCAGUGAUGUUUGUUUCUUGCCUUGAGUUUGGUCGAGUUUCUCUUCCCUGGCUGUUGAGUAGAGCAAGAGGCACUUUCGGCUUCUCGUGGUUAGGCUGCCCCUGAGCUUCGUGUACUUUGAAGAAGUCUGCGGGAAACAAGUGUGUGUCUGUGUGUGUGUGACUGAAACACCCUGCACACCAGAAACCGACAUGGUGUAACUGACUAUACUUCAAUUUAAAAAAAAAGUCUAUGAAUUCUGUGUAUGAAGCCACAUAGUGGCAGGAUCCGUGAGAUCUCCACAUUCCAUUAAAAAAUCCAAAAAGGAAGCAUAAGAAUUCCCAAGGCCAAUGCGUUCAAAGUGUGCAGCCAGCUCAGUAUCCAUGUAAGAGGCUGUCCCAGGGUCCCAAGCCUGUCUGAGCGUCAGGUAGGAACUGCAUGAAAAGGAGUCCAAUGUGCUGGGUCCCGGUGGUGGUCGUAGGUGGAAGCCAUUAAGGGGGAGUCACACCCAGAAGGAGUAGGCUCCCCCUGAGUGGGAAAUAGUGAGAAGAGGGCUCACAUUUGGUGGUCAGAGCGUUAGCCAUGAGAGAGUCAGAAGGAGAGAAUGUGGAAAGGGCCAUGGGGCAGGGAUCAGUCUGAGGCCAGCACCAGUGAUGAGGGACCAGGAGACCCCUUGACAGGACAUGGUCUUUGGAGGCUUGUGUUAAAAGCAUAGGAUGCAGCCAAAGAAGUUUGUGGAACCCACGGUACUGGAAGUCGGUGAGGAAAGAGAACACGAUGUACUGAGGAACUGUACUUCCCCAGGCCAGCAGCAGAGGUGCUCUCUAAAUUAGAAUCCAGGUAACUUCCUGAAUGCCACACAGCCCCCUUCUCACCUAUGAAGACAACAGAUACCUGGGUGGGUGAGGCUGGGUUUAAAGUCCAGGUGGGCAGUGCUAACAUAGCAGGCAUUCGGGCAGCUUACACGUGCUUUUGAAAGAACCAGCAAUGAUCGGUUUCUCUUUCUGGUUCUGUCUGCAGCCAGUGAUAUUUCUGGGUAUGGUUGACCUUGGACUCAUCGUUCACAAGUCCAACCACCCAUCCAUAAAAUUCACUUCACACUACAUCUUGGGCCAGCAACGAUACUUACAGUGUAACCACUCACAAAGUCCUCCGAGAUUCACAGCGUGAGACAAGAAGUCACACCUGGUCAUUCCCCCUCAUGCUUCCACCCCCGCACUGACUGCCACCAUCACAUGAGCUACGCACAAGCCAGUGGACCUGCCUUAAAUUUGCACGUGUGGGGGGGGUGACUUUCAGCACACGGAAACCAGAUAUUUGAUUGUAAUUACACCAGAUAUUCCAAAUUUCAUAUCAGACAUUGGCCUAGUUGGACUUAACAAAAAUUCCAGUAAGGAAGUGGAGCAGAGGCCAGGAAGUGCCCCCUCACUUAUUCCUGAUUUUCUUUCAUUCUCCCUACUUUUUUUUUUAACCCCAAAUGAAAUCUAAAUGAAGUUAAGAUAGAGCACAGCACAGUGAAGUGAUGCCAAAACUCAGUGCAUCCUCCCCAUUGUCAUGGGACUGAGACCUUGCCAGUGGUGGGUCUCAUCCAAGGACGGGGCUGGGGACACACUCUUCAGGAACAUGAGCCUCUUCUGAGAUCCAGGGCGGCCCUGUUUGCAGGGACAUGCUGGGUGUUCCACCAUCUGAAGCAGGGCAUGUCAGCACAGGGCAGUCCCGAGGGGGCCCAGCAGGUUCUCAGGCACAAACACAGAUCCCCACUUGACCCAUAUCUGGAGCACCGUCUAGGGCCCGUCAGUCUAGACCCAUCGCUGUAGUAUUCGGACAAUAAAGAUCACUCCCACUGCAUCCUGCCCAGAGUGAACGUGUGUGCCCGUCCAGAUGCCUCCUGUCGUUAGGUGAGCCUCCACCCUUCUGACAGUGUAGGGGAUAGAAUCAUGUCUUCAUCCCAGCCUGCCCUCCCCAUUUUCUUAAUUUCCCAGAAGGGUUUGCUUUCUCCUGGCCCAGACCCCCUGAAUCCCCCAUAUCCGUCAGGAGACCUCAGGCCUCCACCAUCAGUUCAGGCAGAAUUUCCCCCCAACAGACACACCUCAGAUGACCUGGAGUCCCUGGAAGAUGAGCUGCUGUCACUAACAUAGUGAGAAACCUGUGGGCUCCCUCCCAUCCAAACCUCCUGCCCAGUCUUCCUCCCCCAGGAGUCCUUGUCCUGAGUAAUGGGGUCUCUGAGCACCAGCUUCCUGGAAGGGUCAUAUUGAAGGAAAUCGUAAAAAGAAAAACAUUAAAAUGACUGCAUGAUCUGUCACUACAUCUGUUCACAAUCCAAUGCAUGGAAAAUCCAGGGAGUCCACACAGAUAGUAAUCUCUAGAUUCAGCCUUUUACUCUGAGAGAAUAGGAUUAAACCCAUUAGCAGGUUUCUAGGGUGUGGCUCUUUGUAAAUAUGCAUUAAGCCAACGAUCCUGGUAAACGUGGUAAUUCAGGAUUGAGUGAUAAAUGAAACUUGCCCACAUCUGUCAGCCAGGGGGGCUUUUAGGGUCACCUGAGUUCUGUGUUCUUAACUGUUACCAAGCUAGACACAAUCUUCCAUUUUUCAUGGAUCUUUUUAAAAUUUCAUCUUUAAAAAGUAAUUUUAUUUAUUUGUUUAUUUUUUGUGUUUUUGCUUGGGGAGAGGUAAUUAUGUUUAUUUACUUUUUUAUUUUAAUGGAGGUACUGGGGAUUGAACCCUGGACCUCAUGCAUAGUAAGCAUGCACUCUAGCACUGAGCUAUACCCUUUUCCCAUGUCAGCUUUUUUUGAGGUGUAAUUCACAUAUAAAAUUGUAAGAUAUUUGAAGAGCACAUCUUGGUGACUUGAUACAUGUUUACAGUGUGAAAGGAUUCCCUCAUCUGGGUAACAUCAUCACUUCACAUGCGUCUUUCCCUCUCUUUCCUUCCUGUGAGAAUAUUUAGGCUUUACUCUCUUGCCAGUUUCAAUUACAUAAAACAGAUCAGCCAUGAUCACCACGUGUUACAUUAGCUCCUCAGACCGUAUUCAUCUUAUAUCUGAACAGUUUCCCUCUUUUACCAGCCUCUCCCUAUUCCCCCACCCCACAGCCCUGGGAACCACUUUUCUACCCUCUUUUUGUUUGAAUUUGACUUUUUCAUAGAUGUAAUAUCUGAGACAGUUCAGAAAAUUUCCCCCAAUUGCAAGUUCUUUCUAAGAGUCAUCACUCCAUUUUUUUGUCCAUGUCAUAGAAAAAUACUCCCAGCCAGCAGUGGAUCAGUUGUAGCAGGCACUGACCCUGGAGGAUGUGCCACAUGGCUCCGUUUGCUUUGGGAAUUGACUGUGGGUUUGAAGGUCUCAACAACUUAGAGCAACAUAAGUUGACAUAACACAAAAAUUUAUCUAUGGCACUAAAUUAACCCAUACAACUGAGAUCUAAAACCAGACACGGAGGGAGAUUGCAUAGUUCCAGGUACAUAUGGGAUAUAUUUGAAGGGUAACGUGGGCUUCUUUAGAGCCUGCAGCCUUCUGUUUCCUAAAAGACCAGCCUCUAGCUGUGCCCCUUAAGGUACAGUCACAAGCCCAUCACCAUGGCAACAGACGUUCCAAUGGUGGCCUGUGCUGGAGAGGAAGCUCUGGUCACAAGAUGGUUUUUGUUUUUGUUUUUGUUUGUUAGGGGAGGUAAUUAGGUUGAUUGAUUGACUGUAGCAGGGAUUGAACCCAGGACCUCAUGCACGCUAAGCACGCGCCCUACCACUUGAGCUAUACCCUCCCCUCAACAAGAUAUAUUUUAAAGUACAGAAAUAAACAACAGUGAUGCCAGAGCUCUGGCUUUAUUUUGCUUUGUUUUAGUUAUGUGGCUGAGAUUUAAUGAGAGAACUUACAUAAAAUCAGUCAUUAAUACAUCAGGCAGAUUUGUUUAAUCUUCUCAUUGCUUGGUCAUUAUGACAAGAUGGAAGUGGAAACCCUGCACUCUGUGAAGUACAUCUGAUGGAACACUUAAUAGUGACAUGCCUAUGUCAGGGUGCAUAUAUACACAUAAUUAUUUUAAGCUCCCUUCAAGUGUUAACAUACAUUCUAUAUAAUAUAUAUUACAAAUACUGUAUUACAUCCAGUUGUAUAAAAAAAAAAAAAGCACUCAUCACAGGAGAAAACAGUUUGAACAGUAAGACCUGAUGUGCAUGAUCAAAAACAGGUUACAGCCAAGAAUGGCUUUGUUUAAGGCUCUCAGGGAUUCACCAUCAGUAAGUGAGCUUUUUAUUCUGGUCUCAGCUGUGAGAAUAUGAUUCAUCCUUCCAGAUGUCUAGCUGUUUCAGGGAGUGGGGGUUAAUCUAAGCAUGUCGCUCACUCUUGGUGGGUGGAGAUCGCAGAUCUCAGGCAGGUUGUGGGUAGAAGCAGGGGCUGCUUUGUUGCAGUGGAAGAGAGAAUGCAUCAAUGAUACAACUUAAAGGUCAACCAUGAAAAGGCCUGAAAUUGUCCAGAGGAAAAUUAUAAAGUAACAAACUCUGGUUCCAUUAUUUGUUCUGACAUUGAAUCACCAGAAGAAAUGUUCUAGCUCUGAGGUUAAUUUCUGUAGUCUUAAAAAUGUAUCUCCUGUUUAGCUACCUUCUGUUAAAAACAAGGAAACAGGCCCCAGAUGGGGUUGCAAGUGUUAAGUCCCACGUCACCAAACUGAGACUGAAUUUACGCACCGUUUUGGCUGUCCCAGAAGUGGAACCUUAAAUCGUUCAGUCAGGAAUGUCCUGCUCGAGGCCCGGCCCGUUAGGUCGUCUGCCUGAGAGCCCCUCCAGGCCCCUAAAGGAAGGUCACCUUGCGAUUACCAACCAGCUCGUGGUCUAGGGUAACCUCCUUGUUCCCACUCCCUCCCACCUAUGAAGUCUCUGUUUCCCGCUCUGGGGGCUCCUUUCUGUCUGCUGGACUGUAUAGGGCCAGGUUCAUGAAUCACUGGGUAACGCCACAAAGAUCUGUAAAAUUUAAUCUGUUGAAUUUUGUUUUCUAACACUUUGAAAAAAAUUCAAAUAAACUGCCAAGACAUA